This 253-nucleotide ribosomal RNA is filed under the name uncultured bacterium. Its description in RNAcentral is "partial 16S ribosomal RNA". It matches the Rfam family "Bacterial small subunit ribosomal RNA", at positions 524 to 776 of the family's 1533-position model. The record is from RNAcentral.
UACGAAGGGGGCUAGCGUUGUUCGGAAUCACUGGGCGUAAAGCGCACGUAGGCGGAUUUUUAAGUCAGGGGUGAAAUCCCGGGGCUCAACCUCGGAACUGCCUUUGAUACUGGAGAUCUUGAGUCCGGAAGAGGUAAGUGGAACUGCGAGUGUAGAGGUGAAAUUCGUAGAUAUCCGCAAGAACACCAGUGGCGAAGGCGGCUUACUGGUCCGGAACUGACGCUGAGGUGCGAAAGCGUGGGGAGCAAACAGG